GAUGAACGCUGGCGGCGUGCCUAAUACAUGCAAGUCGAGCGAACAGAUAAGGAGCUUGCUCCUUUGACGUUAGCGGCGGACGGGUGAGUAACACGUGGGUAACCUACCUAUAAGACUGGUAUAACUCCGGGAAACCGGGGCUAAUGCCGGAUAACAUGUUGAACCGCAUGGUUCUACAGUGAAAGGCGGCUUUGCUGUCACUUAUAGAUGGACCCGCGCCGUAUUAGCUAGUUGGUGAGGUAACGGCUCACCAAGGCAACGAUACGUAGCCGACCUGAGAGGGUGAUCGGCCACACUGGAACUGAGACACGGUCCAGACUCCUACGGGAGGCAGCAGUAGGGAAUCUUCCGCAAUGGGCGAAAGCCUGACGGAGCAACGCCGCGUGAGUGAUGAAGGUCUUCGGAUCGUAAAACUCUGUUAUUAGGGAAGAACAAAUGCGUAAGUAACUGUGCGCGUCUUGACGGUACCUAAUCAGAAAGCCACGGCUAACUACGUG
Molecule: ribosomal RNA, 497 nt
Filed under: uncultured bacterium
Lineage: Bacteria
Description: partial 16S ribosomal RNA
Rfam family: Bacterial small subunit ribosomal RNA
Source: RNAcentral